UACGUAGGGCGCAAGCGUUGUCCGGAAUUAUUGGGCGUAAAGAGCUCGUAGGCGGUCUGUCGCGUCUGCCGUGAAAACCCGAGGCUUAACCUCGGGCUGGCGGUGGAUACGGGCAGACUAGAGGUAGGUAGGGGAGAAUGGAAUUCCCGGUGUAGCGGUGAAAUGCGCAGAUAUCGGGAGGAACACCGGUGGCGAAGGCGGUUCUCUGGGCCUUACCUGACACUGAGGAGCGAAAGCGUGGGGAGCGAACAGG
This 253-nucleotide ribosomal RNA is filed under the name uncultured bacterium. RNAcentral's name for it is "partial 16S ribosomal RNA". It matches the Rfam family "Bacterial small subunit ribosomal RNA", at positions 524 to 776 of the family's 1533-position model. The record is from RNAcentral.